CAUGCAGUCGACGGUAACAGGCCGCAGGUGCUGACGAGUGGCGAACGGGUGAGUAAUGCAUCGGAACGUGCCCAGUCGUGGGGGAUAACUGCUCGAAAGAGCAGCUAAUACCGCAUACGACCUGAGGGUGAAAGCGGGGGACCGAAAGGCCUCGCGCGAUUGGAGCGGCCGAUGUCAGAUUAGGUAGUUGGUGGGGUAAAGGCCUACCAAGCCGACGAUCUGUAGUUGGUCUGAGAGGACGACCAGCCACACUGGGACUGAGACACGGCCCAGACUCCUACGGGAGGCAGCAGUGGGGAAUUUUGGACAAUGGGGGCAACCCUGAUCCAGCAAUGCCGCGUGCAGGAAGAAGGCCUUCGGGUUGUAAACUGCUUUUGUCAGGGAAGAAAUCCUGUGGGUUAAUACCUCGUGGGGAUGACGGUACCUGAAGAAUAAGCACCGGCUAACUACGUGCCAGCAGCCGCGGUAAUACGUAGGGUGCGAGCGUUAAUCGGAAUUACUGGGCGUAAAGCGUGCGCAGGCGGUUUUGUAAGACAGAGGUGAAAUCCCCGGGCUCAACCUGGGAACUGCCUUUGUGACUGCAAGGCUGGAGUACGGCAGAGGGGGAUGGAAUUCCGCGUGUAGCAGUGAAAUGCGUAGAUAUGCGGAGGAACACCGAUGGCGAAGGCAAUCCCCUGGGCCUGUACUGACGCUCAUGCACGAAGCGUGGGGAGCAAACAGGAUUAGAUACCCU
RNAcentral lists this ribosomal RNA (733 nucleotides) under uncultured bacterium. RNAcentral's name for it is "bacterial SSU rRNA". It matches the Rfam family "Bacterial small subunit ribosomal RNA", at positions 54 to 788 of the family's 1533-position model. The record is from RNAcentral.